CGCAGUUUUGCACCAUUGAGCCAUUUCAACCAGAAUUAAAUUUUGCUUAUUUACAAAAAAAAUCCUACGGAACGAAACAAGGUAAAUCUCUACCUUUCGUUGAUAGCAUUUUAUAAGGACCAAGCGGAUACGAAAUCAAGAAUUUGUACAACGAUUACCAAGCUACCAAGCAUGUACGGCCAUCUUGGAGAAGGAAUCAGCUCGAGCUGUCAGGCGAUCACCGAUAUCCGAUACUGCAGGUUAGCGGACACGGAUGUUUAUCCAACGGCUUUCCGCCAGUAGGCAUACUAAUCAAUGUGAAAAGAUUGGUCGAGAUUCCUGGUUAUAAAUACGGAGGCGUUUAAAGGCAUAGUGGGCGCAGGUGGCUAAAGGUCAAGAAUCGGAUUCGGGAUUAGCUAGGCGGUAAACCAACAAAAAUCUCAGUCUUGUCCUAAAAGACGCUAAAAACGCCCGCAAAAACUUCAACUACGCGAGUGUCGUACUACCUCACUGUAGGUAGAUACGGGCCUCGUGGUUUUUUCGCGUACCUGCCUAUUGGGAACCCCAGGCUAACGGAAGUGGUCAGCCUGUUUGUUAAGCUCGUGAACAGCAAGAGGAAUACUGAAUAUGGACGUACAAUGUUUUGAGCGGCUUACGACAAUCAACGGGACGGAGGUUCCCGGCAAAACAAUAUUUUUUGACAUCUAAGAAGCAAUUUAAGCGACUGACAUACUCCGCAGACAGCAGUUCGUUCGAGAUCUAAAUUCAGAGCCGAACAGGAGCACAUCGGAUAUUUCGAUUGCUGACAAAACCCAGAUGCAGCCAAGCAAAAAGUAAUACGCUGUAGCUAAAGUCACAUGAGCCGAGGAUACUCGGGUGGUCGUCAUUGUACAAAUGGGAAACUGGACAUUGGUUGUACGCACAAUCAUAGAUGACGCGUUGAACUAAAGAACAACCCCCGCUGAUGACUGUUACUCUCAAGAAAGAUCAGGCACCAGAACUACAGGGGUAAAUAGCUGUGAAACCUUCGCUCGAGCCAACAGGUGAAGGACCAAUAACUAACUCUACGACAAGCAAGCAACAAUUAACACAUUCAAAAAAAUUAAGGAUCGGAAAGUUAAGCAGACGCUGAAGGCCGUUAAGGAGAGGCCGAUAGAAAUUAGUCAAAGAAAGAUUCUUGUAUACGAGCUAGAGGUUAUCAAAUACGCCUAUGCUUGUUCCUAUGAACAUGGCGCUAAACUGUAUAUGGAUGUCGACUGUACCUCGUUGUCUAAAUGCUAGUGAGAGACAUCUUCUUACGUUACAGCGUGCUUCAUUCAACCGUAUGUACAUACACACUUGAUAUUUAAU
This is a long non-coding RNA of Varroa destructor (honeybee mite), 1329 nucleotides long. The record is from RefSeq and is a predicted model, not a curated record. NCBI's taxonomy places the organism in Eukaryota, Metazoa, Arthropoda, Arachnida, Mesostigmata, Varroidae.